GACGAAGGUGGCUAGCGUUAUUCGGAUUUACUGGGCAUAAAGCGCGCGUAGGCGGCUCGAUCAGUCGGGGGUGAAAGCCCGCAGCUCAACUGCGGAACUGCCUUCGAUACUGUCGAGCUUGAGGGCGGGAGGGGUGAUUGGAACUCCAGGUGUAGCGGUGAAAUGCGUAGAUAUCUGGAGGAACACCGGAGGCGAAGGCGAAUCACUGGACCGCAUCUGACGCUGAGGCGCGAAAGCUAGGGGAGCAAACAGG
This 253-nucleotide ribosomal RNA is filed under the name uncultured bacterium. Its description in RNAcentral is "partial 16S ribosomal RNA". It matches the Rfam family "Bacterial small subunit ribosomal RNA", at positions 524 to 776 of the family's 1533-position model. The record is from RNAcentral.